GGGAUCAUUACACAACAAAAUAGGAAGGCCUGGCUUCACGGCUGGCUGAAAUAUUUUUUCCACCCAUGUCUUUUGCGCACUUGUUGUUUCCUGGGCGGGCUCGCCCGCCACCAGGACCAAACCAUAAACCUUUUUUUCUUAUGCAGUUUCCAUCAGCGUCAGUAAAAACAAUGUAAUUAUUACAACUUUCAACAACGGAUCUCUUGGUUCUGGCAUCGAUGAAGAACGCAGCGAAAUGCGAUACGUAGUGUGAAUUGCAGAAUUCAGUGAAUCAUCGAAUCUUUGAACGCACAUUGCGCCCUUUGGUAUUCCAAAGGGCAUGCCUGUUCGAGCGUCAUUUGUACCUUCAAGCUUUGCUUGGUGUUGGGCGUCUUUUUGUCUCUCCUUUGCGGGAGACUCGCCUUAAAACGAUUGGCAGCCGGCCUACUGGUUUCGGAGCGCAGCACAUUUUUUGCGCUUUGUAUCAGGAGAAAAGGACGGUACUCCAUCAAGACGUUUACAUUUUUCACUUUUGACCUCGGAU
This 523-nucleotide ribosomal RNA is filed under the name fungal endophyte sp. D1-1B1-3-1. RNAcentral's name for it is "eukaryotic LSU rRNA". The stretch from base 184 to 337 matches the Rfam family "5.8S ribosomal RNA". Lineage: Eukaryota; Fungi. The record is from RNAcentral.